UGCUGGAGGUAUCAGAAGUGCGAAUGCUGACAUAAGUAACGAUAAAGCGGGUGAAAAGCCCGCUCGCCGGAAGACCAAGGGUUCCUGUCCAACGUUAAUCGGGGCAGGGUGAGUCGACCCCUAAGGCGAGGCCGAAAGGCGUAGUCGAUGGGAAACGGGUUAAUAUUCCCGUACUUGGUGUUACUGCGAAGGGGGGACGGAGAAGGCUAUGUUGGCCGGGCGACGGUUGUCCCGGUUUAAGCGUGUAGGUGUGUGUUCCAGGUAAAUCCGGUUCACUUUAACACUGAGGCGUGACGACGAGGCACUACGGUGCUGAAGCAACAAAUGCCCUGCUUCCAGGAAAAGCCUCUAAGCAUCAGGUAACAUCAAAUCGUACCCCAAACCGACACAGGUGGUCAGGUAGAGAAUACCAAGGCGCUUGAGAGAACUCGGGUGAAGGAACUAGGCAAAAUGGUGCCGUAACUUCGGGAGAAGGCACGCUGACACGUAGGUGAAGUGAUUUACUCAUGGAGCUGAAGUCAGUCGAAGAUACCAGCUGGCUGCAACUGUUUAUUAAAAACACAGCACUGUGCAAACACGAAAGUGGACGUAUACGGUGUGACGCCUGCCCGGUGCCGGAAGGUUAAUUGAUGGGGUCAGCGCAAGCGAAGCUCCUGAUCGAAGCCCCGGUAAACGGCGGCCGUAACUAUAACGGUCCUAAGGUAGCGAAAUUCCUUGUCGGGUAAGUUCCGACCUGCACGAAUGGCGUAAUGAUGGCCAGGCUGUCUCCACCCGAGACUCAGUGAAAUUGAACUCGCUGUGAAGAUGCAGUGUACCCGCGGCAAGACGGAAAGACCCCGUGAACCUUUACUAUAGCUUGACACUGAACAUUGAGCCUUGAUGUGUAGGAUAGGUGGGAGGCUUUGAAGCGUGGACGCCAGUCUGCGUGGAGCCGACCUUGAAAUACCACCCUUUAAUGUUUGAUGUUCUAACGUGGACCCGUGAUCCGGGUUGCGGACAGUGUCUGGUGGGUAGUUUGACUGGGGCGGUCUCCUCCUAAAGAGUAACGGAGGAGCACGAAGGUUGGCUAAUCCUGGUCGGACAUCAGGAGGUUAGUGCAAUGGCAUAAGCCAGCUUGACUGCGAGCGUGACGGCGCGAGCAGGUGCGAAAGCAGGUCAUAGUGAUCCGGUGGUUCUGAAUGGAAGGGCCAUCGCUCAACGGAUAAAAGGUACUCCGGGGAUAACAGGCUGAUACCGCCCAAGAGUUCAUAUCGACGGCGGUGUUUGGCACCUCGAUGUCGGCUCAUCACAUCCUGGGGCUGAAGUAGGUCCCAAGGGUAUGGCUGUUCGCCAUUUAAAGUGGUACGCGAGCUGGGUUUAGAACGUCGUGAGACAGUUCGGUCCCUAUCUGCCGUGGGCGCUGGAGAACUGAGGGGGGCUGCUCCUAGUACGAGAGGACCGGAGUGGACGCAUCACUGGUGUUCGGGUUGUCAUGCCAAUGGCACUGCCCGGUAGCUAAAUGCGGAAGAGAUAAGUGCUGAAAGCAUCUAAGCACGAAACUUGCCCCGAGAUGAGUUCUCCCUGAGACUUAAAGUCUCCUGAAGGAACGUUGAAGACGACGACGUUGAUAGGCCGGGUGUGUAAGCGCAGCGAUGCGUUGAGCUAACCGGUACUAAUGAACCGUGAGGCUUAACCUU
Molecule: ribosomal RNA, 1676 nt
Filed under: Salmonella enterica
Lineage: Bacteria; Pseudomonadati; Pseudomonadota; Gammaproteobacteria; Enterobacterales; Enterobacteriaceae
Also listed under: 2 other names
Description: partial 23S ribosomal RNA
Rfam family: Bacterial large subunit ribosomal RNA
Source: RNAcentral